UGUAAGCGUAUACCAAAGUUGUUGCAGUUAAAACGCUCGUAGUCGGAAUUUGGCAGUUCCGGAUGUGUGCACGUCGUGUGCGCACUUCGCGGGGAUUGCUUUUGUGGUCUUGCGUAGGAUGAGGCACUUUUAUUAGUGAACGUCCUCACGCAACCACUUUUUACUGUGAGAAAAUCAGAGUGCUCAAAGCAGGUAUUUGCCGUGAAUGUAUUAGCAUGGAAUAAUAGAAUAGGACUUGGUUCUAUUUUGUUGGUUUGUUGGGACUGAGUAAUGAUUAAGAGGGACAGUUGGGGGCAUUUGUAUUUCGGUGCUAGAGGUGAAAUUCUUAGAUUACCGAAAGACAAACUGCUGCGAAAGCGUCUGCCAAGGAUGUUUUCAUUGA
RNAcentral lists this ribosomal RNA (382 nucleotides) under uncultured eukaryote. Its description in RNAcentral is "partial 18S ribosomal RNA". It matches the Rfam family "Eukaryotic small subunit ribosomal RNA", at positions 592 to 976 of the family's 1831-position model. The record is from RNAcentral.